Molecule: long non-coding RNA, 554 nt
Organism: Aphis gossypii (cotton aphid)
Lineage: Eukaryota; Metazoa; Arthropoda; Insecta; Hemiptera; Aphididae
Exons: 3
Source: RefSeq, a predicted model, not a curated record
UACUCGUUCUUCUUCCAUUACGAGUCAAUCAUUCGUUAUUUUUCUUACGUUUAACCUAUUGAACGGACUCACCGUACUGUCGAAUUCGCCAAGUUGUUGGCUAAUCGGUGCCAUAAUAAUGUACGAAGAUUAUCGAAUCUACAAACUUUCAUUCCUACUGCAGACGUAAAUUAAGGAAUUAAUUUUAAUGACUAGUCAAUCAUAGACAAGGAGCCAUAACUAACCUUCAAAAGCAUGCAUCAAAAAUGAUGAAGUAUAUUCUAAUACUUGAACUGUUGACAGAACUUCAAUUAGGAACUACAGUAAGAUUACCCAUACCUGACGUGGAUGUAGAGCACGUGGCUCACCCCUUAAUCUUUUGGCGGUCUUUGUUGCAUAUGAAGCUGAUAUUAUGUAUAAAUUAUGUACGGAGUGUGGGUAUGAUAAAAAAUAGGUUCACUAGAUCACAACUGGUUCCGUGUCCUGAAAAUAUAUUGAACUAUGAAAAGACAAUCGCGACUGCCGGAGUAAAAGAAAUUAUAUGGUUCGUGAGGCUGCUGGAUAUGGAAUCGCGG